AGCUCCAAUAGCGUAUAUUAAAGUUGUUGCAGUUAAAAAGCUCGUAGUUGGAUUUCUGGCAGGGUGGCCUUGCCCUCUUGACGAGUGUGCAGUUUUGCCCUUCCAUCCUUCUGUUAACUUUUGAGAGUUUAACGCUCUCCUAAGGGCUCAGAUAUUUUACCUUGAGAAAAUUAGAGUGUUUCAGGCAGGCUAGGCCGGAAUACAUUAGCAUGGAAUAAUGGAAUAGGACUUUUGCCUCUUCUGUUGGUCUGAGGGGUUAGAGUAAUGAUUAAUAGGGAUAGUUGGGGGCAUUAGUACUUAACUGUCAGAGGUGAAAUUCUCGGAUUUGUUAAAGACUAACUUAUGCGAAAGCAUUUGCCAAGGAUGUUUUCAUUA
Molecule: ribosomal RNA, 375 nt
Filed under: Pelagostrobilidium sp.
Lineage: Eukaryota; Ciliophora; Spirotrichea; Choreotrichida; Strobilidiidae
Description: SSU rRNA
Rfam family: Eukaryotic small subunit ribosomal RNA
Source: RNAcentral